This 464-nucleotide ribosomal RNA is filed under the name uncultured bacterium. RNAcentral's name for it is "partial 16S ribosomal RNA". It matches the Rfam family "Bacterial small subunit ribosomal RNA", at positions 338 to 795 of the family's 1533-position model. The record is from RNAcentral.
CCUACGGGUGGCAGCAGUAGGGAAUGUUCGUCAAUGGGCGCAAGCCUGAACGAGCAAUGCCGCGUGAAGGAGGAAGGUCUGCGGAUCGUAAAGUUCUGUUGAAGGGGAAAAAGAGCGGAGAGAGGAAAUGGUCUCCGAUUGAUAUUACCCUUCGAGGAAGUCACGGCUAACUACGUGCCAGCAGCGGCGGUAAUACGUAGGUGGCGAGCGUUAUCCGGAGUGAUUGGGCGAAAAGGGGGCGUAGGCGGCCUGCAAAGUCUGGGGUGAAGGGGACCGGCUCACCCGGUACAGGCUCUGGAAACUGGCGGGCUAGAGUGCAGUAGAGGGCGGUGGAACUCCAUGUGUAGCGGUCAAAUGCGUAGAUAGAUGGAAGAACACCAGUGGCGAAGGCAGCCGCCUGGCCUGUGACUGACGCUGAGGCACGAAAGCGUGGGGAGCAAAUAGGAUUAGAUACCCGAGUAGUC